UUGACCUCGAAUCAGGUACGGAUACCCGCUGAACUUA
Molecule: ribosomal RNA, 37 nt
Filed under: Golovinomyces cichoracearum
Lineage: Eukaryota; Fungi; Ascomycota; Leotiomycetes; Helotiales; Erysiphaceae
Description: partial 28S ribosomal RNA
Source: RNAcentral